GGGUUGUGAGGUUAAGCGACUAAGCGUACACGGUGGAUGCCCUGGCAGUCAGAGGCGAUGAAGGACGUGCUAAUCUGCGAAAAGCGUCGGUAAGGUGAUAUGAACCGUUAUAACCGGCGAUGUCCGAAUGGGGAAACCCAGUGCAAUUCGUUGCACUAUCGUUAACUGAAUACAUAGGUUAACGAGGCGAACCGGGGGAACUGAAACAUCUAAGUACCCCGAGGAAAAGAAAUCAACCGAGAUUCCCCCAGUAGCGGCGAGCGAACGGGGAGCAGCCCAGAGUCUGAAUCAGCUUGUGUGUUAGUGGAACGGUCUGGAAAGUCCGACGGUACAGGGUGAUAGUCCCGUACACCAAAAUGCACAGGCUGUGAACUCGAAGAGUAGGGCGGGACACGUGGUAUCCUGUCUGAAUAUGGGGGGACCAUCCUCCAAGGCUAAAUACUCCUGACUGACCGAUAGUGAACCAGUACCGUGAGGGAAAGGCGAAAAGAACCCCGGCGAGGGGAGUGAAAAAGAACCUGAAACCGUGUACGUACAAGCAGUGGGAGCACCUUCGGGUGUGACUGCGUACCUUUUGUAUAAUGGGUCAGCGACUUAUAUUCUGUAGCAAGGUUAACCGUAUAGGGGAGCCGCAGGGAAACCGAGUCUUAACUGGGCGUUAAGUUGCAGGGUAUAGACCCGAAACCCGGUGAUCUAGCCAUGGGCAGGUUGAAGGUUGGGUAACACUAACUGGAGGACCGAACCGACUAAUGUUGAAAAAUUAGCGGAUGACUUGUGGCUGGGGGUGAAAGGCCAAUCAAACCGGGAGAUAGCUGGUUCUCCCCGAAAGCUAUUUAGGUAGCGCCUCGUGAAUUCAUCUUCGGGGGUAGAGCACUGUUUCGGCUAGGGGGUCAUCCCGACUUACCAACCCGAUGCAAACUACGAAUACCGAAGAAUGUUAUCACGGGAGACACACGGCGGGUGCUAACGUCCGUCGUGAAGAGGGAAACAACCCAGACCGCCAGCUAAGGUCCCAAAGUCAUGGUUAAGUGGGAAACGAUGUGGGAAGGCACAGACAGCCAGGAUGUUGGCUUAGAAGCAGCCAUCAUUUAAAGAAAGCGUAAUAGCUCACUGGUCGAGUCGGCCUGCGCGGAAGAUGUAACGGGGCUAAACCAUGCACCGAAGCUGCGGCAGCGACACUAUGUGUUGUUGGGUAGGGGAGCGUUCUGUAAGCCUGCGAAGGUGUGCUGUGAGGCAUGCUGGAGGUAUCAGAAGUGCGAAUGCUGACAUAAGUAACGAUAAAGCGGGUGAAAAGCCCGCUCGCCGGAAGACCAAGGGUUCCUGUCCAACGUUAAUCGGGGCAGGGUGAGUCGGCCCCUAAGGCGAGGCCGAAAGGCGUAGUCGAUGGGAAACAGGUUAAUAUUCCUGUACUUGGUGUUACUGCGAAGGGGGGACGGAGAAGGCUAUGUUAGCCGGGCGACGGUUGUCCCGGUUUAAGCAUGUAGGCUGGUUGUCCAGGCAAAUCCGGAUAAUCAAGGCUGAGGUGUGAUGACGAGGCACUACGGUGCUGAAGUAACAAAUGCCCUGCUUCCAGGAAAAGCCUCUAAGCAUCAGGUAACAUCAAAUCGUACCCCAAACCGACACAGGUGGUCAGGUAGAGAAUACCAAGGCGCUUGAGAGAACUCGGGUGAAGGAACUAGGCAAAAUGGUGCCGUAACUUCGGGAGAAGGCACGCUGGUGUGUAGGUGAAGUCCCUGCGGAUGGAGCUGAGACCAGUCGAAGAUACCAGCUGGCUGCAACUGUUUAUUAAAAACACAGCACUGUGCAAACACGAAAGUGGACGUAUACGGUGUGACGCCUGCCCGGUGCCGGAAGGUUAAUUGAUGGGGUUAUCCGUAAGGAGAAGCUCUUGAUCGAAGCCCCGGUAAACGGCGGCCGUAACUAUAACGGUCCUAAGGUAGCGAAAUUCCUUGUCGGGUAAGUUCCGACCUGCACGAAUGGCGUAAUGAUGGCCAGGCUGUCUCCACCCGAGACUCAGUGAAAUUGAACUCGCUGUGAAGAUGCAGUGUACCCGCGGCAAGACGGAAAGACCCCGUGAACCUUUACUAUAGCUUGACACUGAACAUUGAGCCUUGAUGUGUAGGAUAGGUGGGAGGCUUUGAAGCGUGGACGCCAGUCUGCGUGGAGCCAACCUUGAAAUACCACCCUUUAAUGUUUGAUGUUCUAACGUUGGCCCCUUACCGGGGUUGCGGACAGUGUCUGGUGGGUAGUUUGACUGGGGCGGUCUCCUCCCAAAGCGUAACGGAGGAGCACGAAGGUUAGCUAAUCCUGGUCGGACAUCAGGAGGUUAGUGCAAUGGCAUAAGCUAGCUUGACUGCGAGCGUGACGGCGCGAGCAGGUGCGAAAGCAGGUCAUAGUGAUCCGGUGGUUCUGAAUGGAAGGGCCAUCGCUCAACGGAUAAAAGGUACUCCGGGGAUAACAGGCUGAUACCGCCCAAGAGUUCAUAUCGACGGCGGUGUUUGGCACCUCGAUGUCGGCUCAUCACAUCCUGGGGCUGAAGUAGGUCCCAAGGGUAUGGCUGUUCGCCAUUUAAAGUGGUACGCGAGCUGGGUUUAGAACGUCGUGAGACAGUUCGGUCCCUAUCUGCCGUGGGCGCUGGAGAAUUGAGGGGGGCUGCUCCUAGUACGAGAGGACCGGAGUGGACGCAUCACUGGUGUUCGGGUUGUCAUGCCAAUGGCACUGCCCGGUAGCUAAAUGCGGAAGAGAUAAGUGCUGAAAGCAUCUAAGCACGAAACUUGCCCCGAGAUGAGUUCUCCCUGAGACUUUAAGUCUCCUGAAGGAACGUUAAAGACGAUGACGUUGAUAGGCCGGGUGUGUAAGCGCAGCGAUGCGUUGAGCUAACCGGUACUAAUGAACCGUGAGGCUUAACCUUACAACGCCGAAG
This 2923-nucleotide ribosomal RNA is filed under the name Klebsiella pneumoniae. Its description in RNAcentral is "bacterial LSU rRNA". It matches the Rfam family "Bacterial large subunit ribosomal RNA". Lineage: Bacteria; Pseudomonadati; Pseudomonadota; Gammaproteobacteria; Enterobacterales; Enterobacteriaceae. The record is from RNAcentral.